This 75-nucleotide transfer RNA is filed under the name Actinoallomurus spadix. RNAcentral describes it as "tRNA-Lys". It matches the Rfam family "tRNA". Rfam says of the family: Transfer RNA (tRNA) molecules are approximately 80 nucleotides in length. Their secondary structure includes four short double-helical elements and three loops (D, anti-codon, and T loops). RNAcentral also lists the same sequence under 6 other names. The record is from RNAcentral. Lineage: Bacteria; Bacillati; Actinomycetota; Actinomycetes; Streptosporangiales; Thermomonosporaceae.
GCGCCGCUAGCUCAAUUGGCAGAGCAGCGGACUCUUAAUCCGCGGGUUCGGGGUUCAAGUCCCUGGCGGCGCACC